UGGGGAAUAUUGGACAAUGGGCGCAAGCCUGAUCCAGCCAUGCCGCGUGAGUGACGAAGGCCUUAGGGUUGUAAAGCUCUUUUGGCGGGGAAGAUAAUGACGGUACCCGCAGAAUAAGCUCCGGCUAACUUCGUGCCAGCAGCCGCGGUAAUACGAAGGGAGCUAGCGUUGUUCGGAAUCACUGGGCGUAAAGCGCACGUAGGCGGACUUUCAAGUCAGGGGUGAAAUCCCGGGGCUCAACCUCGGAACUGCCUUUGAUACUGUUGGUCGCGAGUCCGGAAGAGNGGAGUGGAAUUCCUGGUGUAGAGGUGAAAUUCGUAGAUAUUAGGAAGAACACCGGUGGCGAAGGCGGCUCACUGGUCCGGUACUGACGCUGAGGUGCGAA
RNAcentral lists this ribosomal RNA (385 nucleotides) under uncultured bacterium. Its description in RNAcentral is "bacterial SSU rRNA". It matches the Rfam family "Bacterial small subunit ribosomal RNA", at positions 355 to 757 of the family's 1533-position model. The record is from RNAcentral.